RNAcentral lists this transfer RNA (69 nucleotides) under marine eukaryotic metagenome. It matches the Rfam family "tRNA". From Rfam's summary of the family: Transfer RNA (tRNA) molecules are approximately 80 nucleotides in length. Their secondary structure includes four short double-helical elements and three loops (D, anti-codon, and T loops). Further hydrogen bonds mediate the characteristic L-shaped molecular structure. tRNAs have two regions of fundamental functional importance: the anti-codon, which is responsible for specific mRNA codon recognition, and the 3' end, to which the tRNAs corresponding amino acid is attached (by aminoacyl-tRNA synthetases). tRNAs cope with the degeneracy of the genetic code in two manners: having more than one tRNA (with a specific anti-codon) for a particular amino acid; and 'wobble' base-pairing, i.e. permitting non-standard base-pairing at the 3rd anti-codon position. The record is from RNAcentral.
GGAUGUAGCGCAGUUUGGUAGCGCGUUUGACUGGGGGUCAAAAGGUCGCUGGUUCGAAUCCAGUCAUCC